This 2115-nucleotide ribosomal RNA is filed under the name Triticum aestivum (bread wheat). RNAcentral's name for it is "partial small subunit ribosomal RNA". Lineage: Eukaryota; Viridiplantae; Streptophyta; Magnoliopsida; Poales; Poaceae. The record is from RNAcentral.
AUGGCGAUUGAACCUCUCCGUGAUAAUCUGGACGCUGCCGCAGGAACCGACCAACCAUACCAUGGUGAUUCCUCUUCCCAGCAGCAACUCCCCGUGUACAAUUACAACCUGAGUGGUUCACACUUCUUGGCCCAGCCAACCACUGGACCAAGAACAUACUUGUAUGGUGCAGACAUCAGCCCUGGAUUGUGCAAUGUCAACAGCAGCCUUGGACAAAACCAAAUUCAGAUUGCUGCAGGGGGUAGCCCUGAGCACCACCGGAUCAGACCAAACGAUGCACUUCACUACAUAAGCCAGAUGCUGAUGGAAGACGUUGACGAGGGGGUCGACACAUGUCAAGGGGAGGCUGCUCUCCAGGCUGCCGAGAAGCCAUUCCGUGACAUUCUUGGUGAGGCAUACGCGCCGCCUACUAACUGGUCGACAUUGCAUAGCAACAACAAACCAGACAAACCUGAUAAGAGUGGCACCAGCUCCCCGUCGAGUCCACAUAUCUGCAAUAGUGGUCUUUCUCUACAAAACCGUCCGUUGAUAAGUGUUGGAUCGACUUCCAGAUCUGGUUUCCCCGCCUUGCAUUGUCACGGAGGUGUCGAGGAGGAAAAGACGUUUGCUCCAAGUAUUGAUAAGCUGGUGAUGUAUUUAGAGAACGGCAUACUUUAUAUUUCCCAACUGACUAUGAAAGCAAAAGUAGGAGAGAGGAGCAAAAAUGCGAUAUUUGAGGCGGCAGACCAAAGGGAUUGGGAUAUCUCUCAAGGAAGGAGCAAUAAACAUCAUGCCAUCGCCCUUGUUAAAAUAAUUCGAAGCGAAAAUUUCGACCGAGUUCUGCUAUGCUAUGGCCGGAAGAGUUUCGAUCUAAUAACAAGACUGCGAGAAAGGAUGGCGGGGGAAGGAAACAAGAACUCACUGAAAGGCCGGAGCAAAGGACGUCAGAAGCUAUGGGCUAGGAAGCAACCGAGGAAAGAAUUGGUUGAUCUCAGGAUUCUCCUUGUCCAUUGCGCACAAGCAGUGGCAGAAGAUAACCACCUGUUGGCCAGUGAACUCCUAAAAAAGAUAAGACAACACUCCUCAGCAGAUGGUGAUUGUACUCAGAGACUGGCAUUUUACUUGGCGGAUGGCCUUGAGGCACGCUUGGCUGGGACCGGGAGUCAUGUUUAUGGCAAUCUCAUGGAAAGGCGAACAAGUGCAACAGAUUGGUUAGAGGCUUACAGGCUUUUUAUUGCAGCUUGCCCUUUCAUAAGGGCGUCAUACUACUUUGCCAACCAAACUAUUCUUGAUGUCUCACAAAGGCAACAAAGGGUGCACAUCGUCGAUUUCGGCAUCGGCUUCGGCUUUCAGUGGCCAUUAAUGAUUCAGAAGUUUGCACGGCGAGAAGAGGGAGCCCCUAUGCUUCGGAUCACAGGCAUAGAAGUUCCCCAGCCAGGUUUCCACCCCUGCGAAAUGAUCGAGGAGACAGGGAAGCGGUUGGCUGAUUAUGCAAACAUGUUCAAGGUACCUUUUCAGUAUCAGGGCAUUGCCGCUUCAAGAUGGGAGACCAUUAAAAUUGAGGAUCUUAACAUCGAGGAGGAUGAAGUUCUCAUAAUCAACUGCAUAUUCCGGAUGAAGAAUCUCGGUCAUGAAACCGAGGCCAUAAAUAGCACAAGGGAUGAGGUGCUGAAAACUAUGAGGAGGAUGAACCCAAAGGUUUUUAUUUCUGGCACCGUGAAUGGGUUACAUAGUUCUCCCUUCUUCAUACAACGAUUCAAGGAGACUAUGCUCCAUUACUCUUCAGUGUUUGAGAUGCUUGAUGCAAAUGUUCCACGGGAUAAUGAAGCAAGAAAGAUGCUUGAGAGGAUCCCAUUUGGGCGGGAUGCACUUAACAUAAUAGCAUGUGAGGAUGCAGAAAGGACCCAGAGGCCAGAAAGUUACCGACAGUGGCAAGCAAGGUGCCUCAAGGCUGGGUUCCAGCAGCUUCCUGUGGUUCAGGCCGUCUUAAAGAACAUAGUACACAUGCAGAACUUACAUUAUCAUCAGGAAUUCUUUGCUGUUGAAGAUUGCGGCUGGCUGCUACAAGGGUGGAAAGGGAGAGUAAUUUAUGCUAUAUCUAAAUGGAAACCUAAUGAAACACAUGGUGAUCAGUAA